CAUGCCCUAAACGAUCUUCACUAGCUUUUCGGAGUAUCGACCCUCUGAGAGGCGAAGCUAACGCGUUAAGUGAAGCGCCUGGGAAGUACGGCCGCAAGGCUAAAACUCAAAGGAAUAGACGGGGACUCGCACAAGCGGUGGAUUAUGUGGUUUAAUUCGUAGGUAAACGAAGAACCUUACCCAGAUUUGAAACCCAACUGAAAGCCUUUAGAAACAUUGGCCCUCGCAAGACAGUUGGGCAGGUGA
RNAcentral lists this ribosomal RNA (246 nucleotides) under uncultured bacterium. RNAcentral describes it as "partial 16S ribosomal RNA". It matches the Rfam family "Bacterial small subunit ribosomal RNA", at positions 796 to 1041 of the family's 1533-position model. The record is from RNAcentral.